This 426-nucleotide ribosomal RNA is filed under the name uncultured bacterium. RNAcentral describes it as "bacterial SSU rRNA". It matches the Rfam family "Bacterial small subunit ribosomal RNA", at positions 28 to 450 of the family's 1533-position model. The record is from RNAcentral.
GACGAACGCUGGCGGCGUGCUUAAUACAUGCAAGUCAACGACUUUUAGAGUAGCAAUAUUUUAAAAGGAGUGGCGCACGGGUGAGUAACACGUAGGUAAUCUGCCUUCAGGACUGACACAACUCGUCGAAAGACGGGCUAAUAUCAGAUAAUGCAGCGGCUCCGCAUGGAGACAGUUGUUAAAGUACAAGCGCCUGAAGAUGAGCCUGCGGUCCAUUAGCUAGUUGGUAGAGUAACAGCCUACCAAGGCAACGAUGGAUAGCUGGUCUGAGAGGAUGAUCAGCCACACUGGAACUGAGACACGGUCCAGACUCCUACGGGAGGCAGCAGUAAGGAAUAUUGCUCAAUGGCCGAAAGGCUGAAGCAGCAACGCCGCGUGAAGGAUGAAUGGCCUUUGGCCUGUAAACUUCUGUAAAAAGGGAAAACG